GGCAAGGAAGCCAUGCGUUAGGCGACUGGCUUUUAACCGGUAGAUAGCUAUAAAGCUCUUGCUU
Molecule: transfer RNA, 64 nt
Filed under: Hydroides norvegica
Lineage: Eukaryota; Metazoa; Annelida; Polychaeta; Sabellida; Serpulidae
Description: tRNA-Lys
Source: RNAcentral